GUAUAUACUACCAACAUCCACCACCCUCGACGUCGCCCAAACUAUACUAACCCACCUUCAGCCCCUUUUCAAAUUUCUCAACCAAAUCCACCCCAAAACCGACCUCGACCUCCAUUUAACUCAAGAUUUCCUCCUCCAAAUAGACCUGCUUACAACUAUUCUCAACCCACUGAACCCUACAACAGACCCCCUAGCCGUACUUUUACCAAUUUAGGCAGGCCUUUAGACCAAUUAUAUGACCAGUUAAGGGCCUCCGGAAAAAU
RNAcentral lists this long non-coding RNA (263 nucleotides) under Coffea arabica (coffee). RNAcentral describes it as "long non-coding RNA (CARA_LNC008157)". Lineage: Eukaryota; Viridiplantae; Streptophyta; Magnoliopsida; Gentianales; Rubiaceae. The record is from RNAcentral.